CCUCCGGGGGGCAGCAGUGGGGAAUAUUGGACAAUGGGCGAAAGCCUGAUCCAGCCAUGCCGCGUGUGUGAAGAAGGCCUUCGGGUUGUAAAGCACUUUCAGUGGGGAAGAAAGCCUUGGGGCUAAUACCCUCGAGGAAGGACAUCACCCACAGAAGAAGCACCGGCUAACUCCGUGCCAGCAACCGCGGUAAUACGGAGGGUGCGAGCGUUAAUCGGAAUUACUGGGCGUAAAGCGCGCGUAGGCGGUCUGAUAAGCCGGUUGUGAAAGCCCCGGGCUCAACCUGGGAACGGCAUCCGGAACUGUCAGGCUAGAGUGCAGGAGAGGAAGGUAGAAUUCCCGGUGUAGCGGUGAAAUGCGUAGAGAUCGGGAGGAAUACCAGUGGCGAAGGCGGUCUUCUGGACUGACACUGACGCUGAGGUGCGAAAGCGUGGGUAGCAAACAGGAUUAGAUACCCCAGUAGUC
RNAcentral lists this ribosomal RNA (465 nucleotides) under Vreelandella stevensii. RNAcentral describes it as "partial 16S ribosomal RNA". It matches the Rfam family "Bacterial small subunit ribosomal RNA", at positions 338 to 795 of the family's 1533-position model. The record is from RNAcentral. Lineage: Bacteria; Pseudomonadati; Pseudomonadota; Gammaproteobacteria; Oceanospirillales; Halomonadaceae.